Molecule: long non-coding RNA, 272 nt
Filed under: Zea mays
Lineage: Eukaryota; Viridiplantae; Streptophyta; Magnoliopsida; Poales; Poaceae
Description: long non-coding RNA (ZMAY_LNC005025)
Source: RNAcentral
GCAUGUGAUUCCAAAUUGCUCGGACAAUAGGCCUGUGUACCCUCGAGGUCAAGGAAGGAAGCUUUUAAGUGCGGCGAGGCGGGGUCUGUCUGCGCGUCAGCUGUACACGCCUAGGCUACCGCGAGGCGGGGUCUGUCUGCGUCAGCUGUACACGCCUAGGCUACCGCCCGAACGGCAUUUCAUUUGCCUUCUUCGUACUGUAUGUGUAUCUUCUUUUUUCCCCUUGUAUACAAUCUGCUGCAGCUAUACCGGCCAAGAGUAUGGCAUGGUAU